UAAUACGGAGGAUCCAAGCGUUAUCCGGAUUUAUUGGGUUUAAAGGGUGCGUAGGCGGAUGAUCAAGUCAGCGGUGAAAGUUCAUGGCUCAACCAUGGAAUUGCCGUUGAAACUGGUUAUCUUGAGUGUAGAUGAGGUAGGCGGAAUUCGUAGUGUAGCGGUGAAAUGCUUAGAUAUUACGAAGAACUCCAAUUGCGUAGGCAGCUUACCAGGCUACAACUGACGCUGAGGCACGAAGGUGCGGGUAUCAAACAGG
RNAcentral lists this ribosomal RNA (256 nucleotides) under uncultured bacterium. RNAcentral describes it as "partial 16S ribosomal RNA". It matches the Rfam family "Bacterial small subunit ribosomal RNA", at positions 521 to 776 of the family's 1533-position model. The record is from RNAcentral.